CCCAGACUCCUACGGGAGGCAGCAGUGGGGAAUAUUGCACAAUGGGCGAAAGCCUGAUGCAGCAACGCCGCGUGAACGAAGAAGGCUCUUGGGUCGUAAAGUUCUGUUCUGAGGGAAGAAGAAAGUGACGGUACCUCAGGAGAAAGCCCCGGCUAACUACGUGCCAGCAGCCGCGGUAAUACGUAGGGGGCAAGCGUUAUCCGGAUUUACUGGGUGUAAAGGGUGCGCAGGUGGCAGGGCAAGUCAGAUGUGAAAGCCCGGGGCUCAACCCCGGUAUUGCAUUUGAAACUGUCCGGCUAGAGUGCAGGAGAGGUAAGCGGAAUUCCUAGUGUAGCGGUGAAAUGCGUAGAUAUUAGGAGGAACACCAGUGGCGAAGGCGGCUUACUGGACUGUAACUGACACUGAGGCACGAAAGCGUGGGGAGCAAACAGGAUUAGAUACCCUUGUA
RNAcentral lists this ribosomal RNA (448 nucleotides) under uncultured bacterium. RNAcentral's name for it is "bacterial SSU rRNA". It matches the Rfam family "Bacterial small subunit ribosomal RNA", at positions 330 to 792 of the family's 1533-position model. The record is from RNAcentral.